ACUUUCUUAGUAUAAUAAUACAAAUGACUUCCAAUCAUUUAACCUCAGUUUAAAUCUGAGAGAAAGUA
Molecule: transfer RNA, 68 nt
Filed under: Limnonectes bannaensis (large-headed frog)
Lineage: Eukaryota; Metazoa; Chordata; Amphibia; Anura; Dicroglossidae
Description: tRNA-Gly
Rfam family: tRNA
About the family: Transfer RNA (tRNA) molecules are approximately 80 nucleotides in length. Their secondary structure includes four short double-helical elements and three loops (D, anti-codon, and T loops).
Source: RNAcentral